GGAUGUGAGGGCAAUCUGGCUGCUACAUCUGUCACCCCAGUGAUCUCCAGAGUUGAUUUGGCUGAUCUGGCUGGUGAGGCGAGUGUCCCCUUCCUCCCUCACCACUCCAUGUGCAUCCCUCCCAAAGCUGAGUGCUCUGUCAAAGAGGACGACUGUCCCUCCUAGAGGUGGACUGGUCUUUGCUCAGAGGUAUACGAGUAGCUGUGCUCCCCUGCUAGAACCUCCAAACAAACUCUCAAGAAAAGUUUAUGCUUCUCAAAUACCUUUAUUCACUUAAGCUCUGAUAGAGUCAUGCUUUUUCU
Unclassified non-coding RNA from Dipodomys ordii (Ord's kangaroo rat), 302 nucleotides. Its record names the gene 7SK. It matches the Rfam family "7SK RNA". Rfam says of the family: 7SK was discovered as an abundant small nuclear RNA in the mid-70s but a possible function has only recently been suggested. Two independent studies have found that 7SK RNA binds the CDK9/cyclin T complex (known as elongation factor P-TEFb). P-TEFb activates transcription by phosphorylating the C-terminal domain of RNA polymerase II. Lineage: Eukaryota; Metazoa; Chordata; Mammalia; Rodentia; Heteromyidae. The record is from Ensembl.